This 558-nucleotide ribosomal RNA is filed under the name Nigrospora sp. GSL1_4_1. Its description in RNAcentral is "eukaryotic LSU rRNA". The stretch from base 195 to 348 matches the Rfam family "5.8S ribosomal RNA". Lineage: Eukaryota; Fungi; Ascomycota; Sordariomycetes; Amphisphaeriales; Apiosporaceae. The record is from RNAcentral.
AGUUAAUCUCUCGAUUGGUGACCAGCGGAGGGAUCAUUACAGAGUUAUCCAACUCCCAAACCCAUGUGAACUUAUCUCUUUGUUGCCUCGGCGCAAGCUACCCGGGACCUCGCGCCCCGGGCGGCCCGCCGGCGGACAAACCAAAACUCUUGUUAUCUUAGUUGAUUAUCUGAGUGUCUUAUUUAAUAAGUCAAAACUUUCAACAACGGAUCUCUUGGUUCUGGCAUCGAUGAAGAACGCAGCGAAAUGCGAUAAGUAAUGUGAAUUGCAGAAUUCAGUGAAUCAUCGAAUCUUUGAACGCACAUUGCGCCCAUUAGUAUUCUAGUGGGCAUGCCUGUUCGAGCGUCAUUUCAACCCCUAAGCACAGCUUAUUGUUGGGAACCUACGGCUUCGUAGUUCCUCAAAGACAUUGGCGGAGUGGCAGUGGUCCUCUGAGCGUAGUAAUCUUUUAUCUCGCUUCUGUUAGGUGCUGCCCCCCCGGCCGUAAAACCCCCAAUUUUUUCUGGUUGACCUCGGAUCAGGUAGGAAUACCCGCUGAACUUAAGCAUAUCAAUAAGC